Molecule: ribosomal RNA, 407 nt
Filed under: uncultured bacterium
Lineage: Bacteria
Description: partial 16S ribosomal RNA
Rfam family: Bacterial small subunit ribosomal RNA
Source: RNAcentral
CUUGAACGCUGGCGGCCGGCCUAACACAUGCAAGUCGAGCGGAGCGGCGGACGGGUGAGUAAUGCCUAGGCAACUGCCUGGUAGUGGGGGAUAACGUCCGGAAACGGGCGCUAAUACCGCAUACUAUCAGAUGAGACUAGGUCGGAUUAGCGAGUUGGUGGGGUAAAGGCCUACCAAGGCGACGCUCCGUAACUGGGCUGAGAGGAGGAUCAGUCACACUGGAACUGAGACACGGUCCAGACUCCUACGGGAGGCAGCAGUGGGGAAGAUUGGACAAUGGGCGAAAGCCUGUGCCAGCCAUGCCGCGUGUGGGAAGAAGGUCGUCGGAUGGUAAAGCACUUUAAGUUGGGAGGCGUUACCAACAGGAUAAGCACCGGCUAACUUCGUGCCAGCAGCCGCGGUAAUUC